GGGUGAAUUGUUCAAUGA
This 18-nucleotide small nuclear RNA is filed under the name Arabidopsis thaliana (thale cress). RNAcentral describes it as "snRNA_10843". Lineage: Eukaryota; Viridiplantae; Streptophyta; Magnoliopsida; Brassicales; Brassicaceae. The record is from RNAcentral.